GUUGGCUGCAAGUCAGGGUGAAAUCCACUUAGGAAAAUGUUAACUGAUCAAGGUUUUAAUACAAAUGUAUGUGCCUCUACUGGAUAAAAGGUGUGUCAGAAGUUAUAAUGAAAGCUCAUUACUGGGCUGGAAGACCUGUGGAGCAGGUUUCACUCACCUGGUCAGCCCUAAAAUCUACUUGCUCUCAGGACUACGCCUGGAACACAGAAGCCCUCAACACAUAGUCACUGAGUGGAUGGAUGGCAGGAUCUUGGGGAUGAGCCCCCUGCAGAGUGGUCAGGAAGCAGUCAUCCAUUCAGAGUACCUUCCUGGGUCUCCAGAAGAAACAGAAGAUAGGUACAUCAUCCUCAACCACAGAAGCUAUUUGCUCUCAGGGAUGUUCUGUAGGAAAUGGGAGUGGAUUAGGAUAAAACACCAUCAAAGCAUAAAAGUUAUGUUUUCCAGCCCAAACUCUGCUCUUCUGGGAACUACAGUGAAAUAUUAUUUGAUGGGCGCUACCCAGGUGGCACUAGUGGUAAAGGACCUGCUUGCCAAUGCAGGAAGCAUAAGGGACAGGGGCUUGAUCCCUGGAUCAGGAAGAUCUCUAGGAGGAAGGCAUGGCAAUUCACUCUAGGAUUCUUGCCUGGAGAAUCCCAUGGACAGAGGAGCCUCAUGGGCUACCGUCCGUAGGGUCACAAAGAGUUGGACAUGACUAAACUGAUGUAACAUGCCUGCAUACAUGCACUAUUUGAUGAAGAUGGUGACUUUAAAAGGUGUAUCAUACGUUCCCCAUCCUGAACCUCCAAUGAAAAUAAAUAAAUUUAUAUUUAAAAUAAAGAAAUAAAUAAAAUGAAC
Molecule: long non-coding RNA, 834 nt
Filed under: Capra hircus (goat)
Lineage: Eukaryota; Metazoa; Chordata; Mammalia; Artiodactyla; Bovidae
Description: lncRNA (ENSCHIG00000001644.1)
Source: RNAcentral